Long non-coding RNA from Rhagoletis zephyria (snowberry fruit fly), 99 nucleotides. RefSeq lists it as uncharacterized. The record is from RefSeq and is a predicted model, not a curated record. NCBI's taxonomy places the organism in Eukaryota, Metazoa, Arthropoda, Insecta, Diptera, Tephritidae.
GCUGGUGAAAACGUUGGACCAAAUGUUUCAAUAAAAAAAAUUAAUUUUGGGUGGGACGAGGUUCGCCGGAUCUGCUAGUUUAUUAAUAAAAUUUGCAGC